Non-coding RNA from Acanthosepion pharaonis, 104 nucleotides. Lineage: Eukaryota; Metazoa; Mollusca; Cephalopoda; Sepiida; Sepiidae. The record is from the annotation of a GenBank genome assembly.
GCAUCACGUUCAAACACUGGUUGCCAUAUGACCACCAAAGUUAAGCAACGUUGAGCCUGGUCAGUACGUAGAUGGGUACCCACUUGGGAUACCAAGUGCUGUAA